GUCUCUUCUGCAGACUGCAUUGUGCAUUCUCCAGGAUCCUGGUUACCAACAACUCUAAAUUCUUGUAUGUAAUAAAAUUUUGUAUUUCUAUCAGAGAAGAGACUAAUGUGUAUUCAUCCCAACUUCACAAACUUGGCAUGGGUCCUGAUUGGCCCUAUUUGUUCCAGGCACUCAUUCUGGGAUAGUAAUUCUGGGACUGCAAUUCUAGGCAGUAUUGCAAGGAUCUAACUUUGGUCGCAGCCCAAAUCUAAGCCAAUCCCUAGCCCAGAGAAGUCAAAACUAUAAUUGAAAAGGAUGUGUCCAAAAGACAGAUAUUCUUUCUUUAUGAAUGUGAUUUCAGAGAAAGGGAUCGCUGAUUUACAGGGACAUUUUUGUAGAGAGGUCAAGACUAUAAAGUAGAUGGAUUCAAUCUUCUCUGUAGUAGAAGAUAAAGCUAUAGUCUGAGAAGACAGAUUUCCAGAGAUAUUCUUAAAGUAAAGGAGGCAAGAAAAAAUCGCUACAGGGAAGGUAAGAAUCGCAAGAUGGAGGCAGGGGUAAAAGAUUGGGAAGCAGUAUUGACCACACUCAACUGAAAUAUGAUCUUGGAUAAAAAUGUAUUUGAGCCAGGUGUAGUGGCACAUGCUGGAAUUCCAGUAACUCAGGAGGCUGAGGCAGGAUUGUAAAUUCAAGGUCAGUUUCAACACCUUAGUAAGACCCCAUUUCAAGUUUUAAAAAGAGCUGGUAACAUAACUCUAGAUUUAAUUCCUAGCACUGCCAUGUGUAUCAACUGAAUGUUUGUCAUUGAAAAAAGAAAUAGUGUUACAAAAAACAACUGCCUUAUUUUUGUAAACUGUAAAUCCUUAUGCUGUUUUCUAUGAAGGAACACUUUAAACUAUUUCUAGAUAUAGUGGUAUUACUUGAUUUUUUUAAAAAUGUUUUAACCAUUAGUCCUUGAUGCCUGGUGUGAAAAAAGGAUUUAGCUUUUAUAUUACCAUUCCAUAUCCUACGACUAUCUCCACAUAAAUACUUCUCAUUUCAACUAACUAAU
RNAcentral lists this long non-coding RNA (1027 nucleotides) under Marmota monax (woodchuck). The record is from RNAcentral. Lineage: Eukaryota; Metazoa; Chordata; Mammalia; Rodentia; Sciuridae.